Molecule: ribosomal RNA, 494 nt
Filed under: uncultured bacterium
Lineage: Bacteria
Description: partial 16S ribosomal RNA
Rfam family: Bacterial small subunit ribosomal RNA
Source: RNAcentral
GACGAACGCUGACGGCGUGCUUAACACAUGCAAGUCGAACGGUGAAGCGCCUUCCUUUUUGGUGGGUGUGGAUGAGUGGCGAACGGGUGAGUAACACGUGAGUAACCUGCCCCCUUCUUCUGGAUAACCGCAUGAAAGUGUGGCUAAUACGGGAUAUUCUGGGUCUGUCGCAUGAUGGGUCUGGGAAAGAUAUUGUUUCGGUGGGGGAUGGGCUCGCGGCCUAUCAGCUUGUUGGUGGGGUGAUGGCCUACCAAGGCGGUGACGGGUAGCCGGCCUGGGAGGGUGGCCGGUCACACUGGGACGGAGACACGGCCCAGACUCCUACGGGAGGCAGCAGUGGGGAAUAUUGCACAAUGGGCGCAAGCCUGAUGCAGCGACGCCGCGUGAGGGAUGGAGGCCUUCGGGUUGUGAACCUCUUUCGCCAGUGAAGCAGGCCUGCCUCGUUUGUGGGUGGGUUGACGGUAGCUGGAUAAGAAGCGCCGGCUAACUACGUG